RNAcentral lists this long non-coding RNA (1164 nucleotides) under Ursus maritimus (polar bear). RNAcentral's name for it is "lncRNA (ENSUMAG00000024849.1)". Lineage: Eukaryota; Metazoa; Chordata; Mammalia; Carnivora; Ursidae. The record is from RNAcentral.
CAAUCCAGGAACGCUGGGAUCACGCCCUGAGCCGAAGGCAGACGCUUAACGACUGCGCCACCCAGGCGCCCCCGAAACUGAUUUUGAAUGAAGACAAAACUUAGAAAUCUUCCCUUUCUACCUGCAAACAAAUCUGAGAUGAAUGCAGUUACAACUAACUUUAUAAUAAGAAACUUAGAGUAAGAAGCUAUUUGAAUUUCAAAUCUUUUUUAAAAAUCAAAGAACUUUUGUAAACAUAAAAACUUAAGGGAAGAUCUUAGCCAUUUAUUAUUUCAUGGUGUUAGGACUCUCUUCUGUUUUUUGUUUUCUCACAGAACAUAGCUUGUAUGCAUAUAAUUUUUUUAAAUGAGUGUUGUGGUGUCUUAUAAGUUCAUUGAUAAAAAUCAUUUAUUCUAAGAUAGGUGUUUUACAUGAACAGUUAUAACACUUAUCCUGUGUUAAAUUUUUAAAAAUAUUUAUUAAGUAGAUAUGGACAAUCUUAGCCUAUAAAAAGUUUUUUUGAGGAAUGCUUGGGAACAAUCUUUAGGGCUUAUAUCUAUAAAAAAUGUCUAAGAUAAUAUUUAUUUAAAUGAUUUUACUAAUUAACAUGCACCAAUUUUGUGGGGUUUUUUUCCUUCAGAGUUGCAGAGUUCUCUUCUUUAAAAUUUCAGCCAGCCCAGAAUUGGCAUGGAUUGUAUCAAAGACACAAACUUCAUCCCAGAGUGAUUACAGUAACAGCUUACAAAAAUGGAUCUAGAACAGUCUUUGCCAAAGUUACAGUACCAACCAUCGCCUUGUUGCUGGAGGAGUGCACAGAAAAGCGAAUCUGAACAUGGCCGCUCGAGGAGUGUUCUUGGCAGACGGCAGUGAAGCCCUCAAACCUGAAGAUACACCCUGUGAAGCCGACGUUUAUGUUUCAACAGGAGAGCCCUUUUUAGAUCCAUUCAAAAAAAUUAAAGGUUUUAGAUACUUGCACAAUGAGAAUGAACCUAAAUUCGCCAGCCAGAUAUCUUUAUGAUUUGUAUGGCAGAACAAUUAAAGAUAUUUCAAAAGGUAAGUGACAAAGAUUUUAUUAACUCUAUGAUAACAUUUCAAAAGGCAUUACAUAAUUUUGUUUUUACUUUGUAUAUUUAAAAGGAAAACAGCUAUAAUAAAAGUGUAGUUUUAACAUGUCUAAAUAUGUCA